Molecule: ribosomal RNA, 433 nt
Filed under: uncultured bacterium
Lineage: Bacteria
Description: partial 16S ribosomal RNA
Rfam family: Bacterial small subunit ribosomal RNA
Source: RNAcentral
AACGAACGCUGGCGGCAGGCUUAACACAUGCAAGUCGAGCGCAUCCUUCGGGGUGAGCGGCGGACGGGUGAGUAACGCGUGGGAACGUGCCCUCUUCUACGGAAUAGCCUCGGGAAACUGAGAGUAAUGCCGUAUACGCCCGCAAGGGGAAAGAUUUAUCGGAGGAGGAUCGGCCCGCGUUGGAUUAGGUAGUUGGUGGGGUAACGGUCUACCAAGCCGACGAUCCAUAGCUGGUUUGAGAGGAUGAUCAGCCACACUGGGACUGAGACACGGCCCAGACUCCUACGGGAGGCAGCAGUGGGGAAUCUUGGACAAUGGGGGCAACCCUGAUCCAGCCAUGCCGCGUGAUCGAUGAAGGCCUUAGGGUUGUAAAGAUCUUUCAGCUGGGAAGAUAAUGACGGUACCAGCAGAAGAAGCCCCGGCUAACUCCGUG